Molecule: transfer RNA, 91 nt
Filed under: Buchnera aphidicola (Periphyllus lyropictus)
Lineage: Bacteria; Pseudomonadati; Pseudomonadota; Gammaproteobacteria; Enterobacterales; Erwiniaceae
Description: tRNA-Leu
Rfam family: tRNA
About the family: Transfer RNA (tRNA) molecules are approximately 80 nucleotides in length. Their secondary structure includes four short double-helical elements and three loops (D, anti-codon, and T loops).
Source: RNAcentral
ACCGAGAUGGUGAAAUUGGUAUACACGCUACUUUGAGGUAGUAGUACUAAAUAAAAAUUUUAGUGUACGGGUUCAAGUCCCGUUCUCGGUA